ACUCCUACGGGAGGCAGCAGUGGGGAAUAUUGCACAAUGGGCGAAAGCCUGAUGCAGCAACGCCGCGUGAACGAUGAACGGUCCUUCGGGGUUAGUUAAAGUUUCUUUUCGUUGGAGAAGAAUCCAUGACGGUAUCCAAGGAAUAACGCCCGGACUAACUACGUGCCAGCAGCCGACGGUAAUACGGUAGGGGCAAGCGUUAUCCGGAAUCACUGGGCGUAAAGGGAGUGUAGGCGGUCAAGCAAGUCAGAGGUGAAAGGCAUCGGCUCAACCGAUGUAAGCCUUUGAAACUGUUUGACUUGAGUGCAGGAGAGGUAAGUGGAAUUCCUAGUGUAGCGGUGAAAUGCGUAGAUAUUAGGAGGAACACCAGUGGCGAAGGCGACUUACUGGACUGUAACUGACGCUGAGGCUCGAAAGCGUGGGGAGCGAACAGGAUUAGAUACCCUGGUAGCGACUGA
Molecule: ribosomal RNA, 458 nt
Filed under: uncultured bacterium
Lineage: Bacteria
Description: bacterial SSU rRNA
Rfam family: Bacterial small subunit ribosomal RNA
Source: RNAcentral